AUCGGGCUCAGACGGCACCAUGUCCCGAACCUGGUCAGGUCCGGAAGGAAGCAGCCAUAAGGGGCCGCUGGUGAGCGUCUGAGUCCAUUCUG
Molecule: signal recognition particle RNA, 92 nt
Filed under: Coriobacteriaceae bacterium
Lineage: Bacteria; Bacillati; Actinomycetota; Coriobacteriia; Coriobacteriales; Coriobacteriaceae
Description: signal recognition particle sRNA small type
Rfam family: Bacterial small signal recognition particle RNA
About the family: The signal recognition particle (SRP) is a universally conserved ribonucleoprotein involved in the co-translational targeting of proteins to membranes. Archaeal SRP consists of a 7S RNA and homologues of the eukaryotic SRP19 and SRP54 proteins.
Source: RNAcentral